Molecule: ribosomal RNA, 1520 nt
Filed under: uncultured bacterium
Lineage: Bacteria
Description: 16S ribosomal RNA
Rfam family: Bacterial small subunit ribosomal RNA
Source: RNAcentral
GAUGAACGCUGGCGGCGUGCCUAAUACAUGCAAGUCGAACGAACUCUGGUAUUGAUUGGUGCUUGCAUCAUGAUUUACACUUGAGUGAGUGGCGAACUGGUGAGUAACACGUGGGAAACCUGCCCAGAAGCGGGGGAUAACACCUGGAAACAGAUGCUAAUACCGCAUAACAACUUGGACCGCAUGGCCCGAGUUUGAAAGAUGGCUCCGGCUAUCACUUUUGGAUGGUCCCGCGGCGUAUUAGCUAGAUGGUGGGGUAACGGCUCACCAUGGCAAUGAUACGUAGCCGACCUGAGAGGGUAAUCGGCCACAUUGGGACUGAGACACGGCCCAAACUCCUACGGGAGGCAGCAGUAGGGAAUCUUCCACAAUGGACGAAAGUCUGAUGGAGCAACGCCGCGUGAGUGAAGAAGGGUUUCGGCUCGUAAAACUCUGUUGUUAAAGAAGAACAUAUCUGAGAGUAACUGUUCAGGUAUUGACGGUAUUUAACCAGAAAGCCACGGCUAACUACGUGCCAGCAGCCGCGGUAAUACGUAGGUGGCAAGCGUUGUCCGGAUUUAUUGGGCGUAAAGCGAGCGCAGGCGGUUUUUUAAGUCUGAUGUGAAAGCCUUCGGCUCAACCGAAGAAGUGCAUCGGAAACUGGGAAACUUGAGUGCAGAAGAGGACAGUGGAACUCCAUGUGUAGCGGUGAAAUGCGUAGAUAUAUGGAAGAACACCAGUGGCGAAAGCGGCUGUCUGGUCCUGUAACUGACGCUGAGGCUCGAAAGUAUGGGUAGCAAACAGGAUUAGAUACCCUGGUAGUCCAUACCGUAAACGAUGAAUGCUAAGUGUUGGAGGGUUCCCGCCCUUCAGUGCUGCAGCUAAACCAUUAAGCAUUCCGCCUGGGGAGUACGGCCGCAAGGCUGAAACUCAAAGGAAUUGACGGGGGCCCGCACAAGCGGUGGAGCAUGUGGUUUAAUUCGAAGCUACGCGAAGAACCUUACCAGGUCUUGACAUACUAUGCAAAUCUAAGAGAUUAGACGUUCCCUUCGGGGACAUGGAUACAGGUGGUGCAUGGUUGUCGUCAGCUCGUGUCGUGAGAUGUUGGGUUAAGUCCCGCAACGAGCGCAACCCUUAUUAUCAGUUGCCAGCAUUAAGUUGGGCACUCUGGUGAGACUGCCGGUGACAAACCGGAGGAAGGUGGGGAUGACGUCAAAUCAUCAUGCCCCUUAUGACCUGGGCUACACACGUGCUACAAUGGAUGGUACAACGAGUUGCGAACUCGCGAGAGUAAGCUAAUCUCUUAAAGCCAUUCUCAGUUCGGAUUGUGGGUUGCAACUCGCCUACAUGAAGUCGGAAUCGCUAGUAAUCGCGGAUCAGCAUGCCGCGGUGAAUACGUUCCCGGGCCUUGUACACACCGCCCGUCACACCAUGAGAGUUUGUAACACCCAAAGUCGGUGGGGUAACCUUUUAGGAACCAGCCGCCUAAGGUGGGACAGAUGAUUAGGGUGAAGUCGUAACAAGGUAGCCGUAGGAGAACC